Long non-coding RNA from Cyprinus carpio carpio, 1469 nucleotides. The record is from Ensembl. Lineage: Eukaryota; Metazoa; Chordata; Actinopteri; Cypriniformes; Cyprinidae.
GUUCUUUGUUUUAUUUCAGCCGAUACGGCGAGAGAGUUGGAGUGUUUGGGCGAGUACAGAGGAAAGAAGGCAGAGGAUAUUGUUGGCUGGGCAAAGACGGAGACAAGGGUUUGGCAGAAACAGACACCGGGCUGAGUAUAUUGGAAUGUCUACGUAACUGUGAAAUGCUCCAUGGACAUGUGUAACAAAUUCUGAGUGGUUGAAAACAGGAAGACUCACCGGAAGUAUCGCCGAAGGAGGCCUUUUCGACAGGGCACGUGGCAGCAGGAGAAGUAUCCAGGAGCUGGAAAGAAGAGGGAAAAGAGACCUCGUGUAGUAACGGUGUGAGUACCCUAAACCAUCGUACAGCAGUAUAAUCAUCUAGAGUGAACCAUCUGUGAGCGUUUUGUGAGUUUGUGGCAUAGUAUGUGAGCGGCCCCACCGUGGAGGAGGAUUGUGGGUGAGCCGGGACCAGUGAGCGAGAGAGGAUGUUGGGCUGUUGUGGCGGCAACGUUUAAAUCUGAAUAUUCGUGGCUUCACGACUUCCAGGAAGAGUCUUUGGUCAGACGGGGUGUUGACCCUAAAUUCACCAGAGUGUGUGGAGUGCAGUGGGCCCGACGAAAUCCUGUGAAGGAAGUGAAUACCGAGGCGGGCGAAGAAAACAUCUCCAAUUAUAUGCCGUCGAUGACAUCCUGACCCUUCUUCCCCACGUGACGGUGGUGGGAAACAAUUUCAAGUAAGAACAGUGUGGAUCUAUUGGGAAGUAUUAAUGGUGAGGAGUUGGCUGCUGUAGGAGGAAAUCAGCUGUGCGUGUAUUAUUACCUGCUGUGGAGUUCUUCAAAGGUUCGCCCCUGUCUAGAUCUCUUGACUUGUCGGUUGGUAGAAAGAAGAGGGAAGCGUUCGACCCAUCCAGUGUAGUACACCCCGGGUGAGACAACUUACCUGUGUGUGACGCCAGCGGAGGCCGUGUUCGGCCCAACGCAACAGUUUUCGAUCCGCCUCUCUAUCAGCAGUUGGUAGAAGCCUCAGAAAAGGAACGUCUGACGUCUAUUCCCUCGAAGGUCUGUGAGUUACAUCACUUCCUGUUUCCCUGUAUAUUCACCGUAAGCGUAUGCCCAAGUGAAGUCCCAGUUACAUUUGAUGUACUUACCCUAUGCCCAAAGCUAAAGCCAGCAUAUUGUGUUGUACACUCGCCUGUAUGCCCAGAGUGAAGUCCCAGUUAUAUUGGAUGUACUUACCUUAUGCCCAAAGCUAAAGCCAGCAUAUUGUGUUGUACACUCGCCUGUAUGCUCAAGUGAAACCCCAGUUGUCUUUCCUACGGACUUACUUGUGCCCCCGAGUGAAGAGCCAGCGGCCCCUCUGUCCACUAUCCGUGUCCAGUCCUGUUACACUUACCUUUAUGCUCUUGUGCAGAUCUAGCGGGUCCCUUUGAAGCGUCUACCUGCAUGUCGACUCGUCACUCAGGAUACAGAGACCGUGGAAACCCCCUC